Molecule: ribosomal RNA, 466 nt
Filed under: uncultured bacterium
Lineage: Bacteria
Description: partial 16S ribosomal RNA
Rfam family: Bacterial small subunit ribosomal RNA
Source: RNAcentral
GAUGAACGCUGGCGGCGUGCUUAACACAUGCAAGUCGAACGGAAAGGCCCAAGCUUGCUUGGGUACUCGAGUGGCGAACGGGUGAGUAACACGUGGGUGAUCUGCCCUGCACUUCGGGAUAAGCCUGGGAAACUGGGUCUAAUACCGGAUAGGACCACAUUUUGGAUGGUGUGGUGGAAAGUUUUUCGGUGUGGGAUGAGCUCGCGGCCUAUCAGCUUGUUGGUGGGGUAAUGGCCUACCAAGGCGUCGACGGGUAGCCGGCCUGAGAGGGUGUACGGCCACAGUGGGACUGAGAUACGGCCCAGACUCCUACGGGAGGCAGCAGUGGGGAAGAUUGCACAAUGGGCGCAAGCCUGAUGCAGCGACGCCGCGUGGGGGAGGACGGCCUUCGGGUUGGAAACUCCUUUCGCUAGGGACGAAGCGUUAUGUGACGGUACCUGGAGAAGAAGCACCGGCUAACUACGUG